RNAcentral lists this transfer RNA (77 nucleotides) under Bacteroidales bacterium WCE2004. RNAcentral's name for it is "tRNA_Pro_TGG". It matches the Rfam family "tRNA". Rfam says of the family: Transfer RNA (tRNA) molecules are approximately 80 nucleotides in length. Their secondary structure includes four short double-helical elements and three loops (D, anti-codon, and T loops). The record is from RNAcentral. Lineage: Bacteria; Pseudomonadati; Bacteroidota; Bacteroidia; Bacteroidales.
CGGGGUGUGGCGCAGUUGGCUAGCGCAUCUGGUUUGGGACCAGAGGGUCGCAGGUUCGAGUCCUGUUACCCCGACAA